Long non-coding RNA from Pipra filicauda (Wire-tailed manakin), 969 nucleotides. RefSeq lists it as uncharacterized. The transcript is spliced from 4 exons. Lineage: Eukaryota; Metazoa; Chordata; Aves; Passeriformes; Pipridae. The record is from RefSeq and is a predicted model, not a curated record.
CUGCAGGGUUGUGUGUGGUCCUUCAUCUUUGUCCUAGUGUCUUCCACUGUGCUCAUAAUCACAAUAUAUUGAGACCAGAGCGUGAUAACACAGAUAAAUGUUUGCUAACUGAACUACAGGCUUAAAAAUUAAAAUAUAUCAAAGCAACCUUUGCCCUUUGGCCCACAGCUACUUCAGAAGUCAGCAGCUCUGUGGUCUGGAGAUUUCAAAAAAUCUUGACAAACCCUGCCAAGAUACCCAGAACUGGAAAUAAUUUGGUGUUAUUGUGGUUUCUAGUCUGGAGCCCCUACCUACUUCUUUGAGUUUCAGCACCGUCCCAGUUCACACUGGGACAGCAAACCAGAGUAUGUGAAGGCUGACCACGGGGAUGAAGUUGGCUUUGUCUUUGGAGGACCCUUUCUGGCAGGAGAAAUUCAGCUGUGCAGUGAAGUUACAGAGGAAGAAAAGAACCUCAGUAGAACUCUGAUGAAGUACUGGGCUAACUUUGCUCGAAAUGGAAAUCCUAAUGGAGAGGGUUUGGUUGAAUGGCCAUCUUACAACCUAAAUGAAGAAUACUUGCAGAUAAAUCUAAAACAAAAGAAAGCCAGGAAGUUGAAAGAAGAGAAGGUGAAUUUCUGGAAAAAGCUGAUGCUGGAAAAGGCAAAUAACCAAAGAAUGGAAAACAAGAAGGUUAAUUCAGAGUUAUAAUUUACAGUCUAAACAUGCACACAAUAUGCAAGCUAUUAGGAUAGGAAAAGAAAUUACUUAAAGUUAUUUUGAGGAUAAAAUUCUGUUUCCCUUCUUUUUGUCUUUUCUUCACAGUUGUCAUACUUGAAAUUAUUCCUUGUAAUAACUCCAAUUGAUCCCUCACUUGUUAAAUACAACUACCACAUUUCCCCAGUGCUCAGGUUUUUCUGUCACUUCCUCAUGACUGAAGACAGAAUGUAGCAGCAACAUUGUUUUAAUAAAAUGAAAUCAAUGACGACCCAA